AAACGAAAAUAGCAAACUUGUCGAAAGAGAAGGACGCAAAGCCACGGGCCUAAGGACGACUAUGGCAGCCGGGUUGCCGAA
This 81-nucleotide non-coding RNA is filed under the name Halalkalibacter okhensis. RNAcentral describes it as "Bacillus okhensis c-di-GMP sequence". It matches the Rfam family "c-di-GMP-I riboswitch aptamer". From Rfam's summary of the family: GEMM was predicted in a large-scale screen for bacterial structured RNA regulatory elements. Genes associated with GEMM are involved in a diverse array of functions, including chemotaxis regulation, signal transduction, secretion and chitin. The record is from Rfam by way of RNAcentral. Lineage: Bacteria; Bacillati; Bacillota; Bacilli; Caryophanales; Bacillaceae.